Molecule: non-coding RNA, 393 nt
Organism: Archocentrus centrarchus (flier cichlid)
Lineage: Eukaryota; Metazoa; Chordata; Actinopteri; Cichliformes; Cichlidae
Source: the annotation of a RefSeq genome assembly
AUGGCCAGGUAUGUGUGUGUCGCUUACCUGGGGAACACCUGGCAUCAGGAUGCACUGUGGGAAGAAGGUGAUACUCGUCCCAUCCUGACAGUGCUGCCCCCCUCCAGUGAGGAGCUGCAGCAGGGCAAUGCCACAAUCACAUGUCUGGCCAACAAGGGCUUCCCCUCAGACUGGAGGCUGUCCUGGAAGGUGGACGGCAGCGGCAGCAUCAGCUGGGAGGAGAGCAGGAGCCCUGUGGUGCUGCACAAGGACGGCCUCUACAGCUGGAGCAGCACCCUGAGGCUCCCUGCAGAUCGGUGGGGGAAGGUGGGCUCUGUGACCUGUGAGGCCACCCAGGGCUGCCAGACUCUGGUCUCAGAGCCACUCAGGAGAGACCAGUGUUCCCAGUCCUGA